RNAcentral lists this ribosomal RNA (256 nucleotides) under uncultured bacterium. Its description in RNAcentral is "partial 16S ribosomal RNA". It matches the Rfam family "Bacterial small subunit ribosomal RNA", at positions 524 to 777 of the family's 1533-position model. The record is from RNAcentral.
UACGGGGGGAGCAAGCGUUGUUCGGAUUUACUGGGCGUAAAGGGCGCGUAGGCGGUCGUGACAAGUCACUUGUGAAAUCUCCGGGCUUAACUCGGAACGGUCAAGUGAUACUGUCGGACUAGAGUACAGAAGGGGCAACUGGAAUUCUCGGUGUAGCGGUGAAAUGCGUAGAUAUCGAGAGGAACACCUGCGGCGAAGGCGGGUUGCUGGGCUGAUACUGACGCUGAGGCGCGAAAGCCCAGGGGAGCGAACGGGG